Molecule: unclassified non-coding RNA, 234 nt
Filed under: plant metagenome
Description: partial contains small subunit ribosomal RNA, internal transcribed spacer 1, and 5.8S ribosomal RNA
Source: RNAcentral
UUUCCGUAGGUGAACCUGCGGAAGGAUCAUUACUGAGUGAGGGCCCUCUGGGUCCAACCUCCCACCCGUGUUUAUUGUACCUUGUUGCUUCGGUGCGCCCGCCUCACGGCCGCCGGGGGGCUUCUGCCCCCGGGUCCGCGCGCACCGGAGACACCAUUGAACUCUGUCUGGAGAUUGCAGCCUGAGCAUAAACUAAAUAAGUUAAAACUUUCAACAACGGAUCUCUUGGUUCCG